Molecule: unclassified non-coding RNA, 206 nt
Filed under: Hevea brasiliensis (rubber tree)
Lineage: Eukaryota; Viridiplantae; Streptophyta; Magnoliopsida; Malpighiales; Euphorbiaceae
Source: RNAcentral
GCGGUUCGAUUUCAAGGAGAUGUUGAAACAGACCUUGGGCUCAUGCUGCGGCUAUGAGCAUAACUCUCACGAGAAUACCUCCCCUUACUUUUCCUUGCUGAAGGGCUUCUUUUCGAUCUCCUAGGCAUGGGGGAAUAACUACGAGAGUAACUCCUCCAACUCCUUGGCUCAGGAGACAGGCUGUGGGAAUAGCUUCUCCUGAGCGG